GGUCCGGACUCCUCUCACUAUGUUUCCACUUAGCCCUAGCCAUUACACUGGCUACAAGUGUUCCUGACCUUGUUCAUAGUAGGGUGAUUGAUCUAAAGCUACAACCCAAACCAAUACCGCAACCUGAACCAAAGCCUGCACCACAACCAGACCCAAAGCCAGAACCCAAGCCAACACCGCAGCCUGACCCAAAACCCACACCACAACCAGACCCAAAGCCAGAACCCAAGCCGGCACCACAGCCUGAACCAAAGCCCGCACCACAACCAGAUCCAAAGCCAGAACCUAAACCGACACCGCAACCAAAACCAAAACCUACACCACAACCAGACCCACAACCAGAACCAAAACCCACACCACAACCAGACCCAAAACCGGAACCUAAACCCACACCACAACCAGAUCCAAAGCCCGAGCCAAAACCAACACCACAGCCACCCUCCUCGCAACCUGAACCAAAGCCCGAGCCUGAGCCAAGCCCCAAACCUACGCCAGAACCUAAACCUCAGCUGGAGCCUCAACCAAGCCCAAAACCCCAACCUGAACCAUCCAAGCCAGAGCCCCAGCCAAGGCCCAAACCUACACCAGAGCCAAAACCCCAACCAGAACCAUCGAAACCAGAGCCACCGUCUCUUCCACCACCCAUUGGCGCGGGCCUCAUGGAAGGGAACUAAGAGGAGCAUAGUGGCACAGAUCAACGUGCAUACCACCUACAGCUUUAGGCUAUGACUAGUACUAUGUGUAAGAGUGAGUUCUCU
RNAcentral lists this long non-coding RNA (758 nucleotides) under Sorghum bicolor (sorghum). RNAcentral describes it as "long non-coding RNA (SBIC_LNC013315)". The record is from RNAcentral. Lineage: Eukaryota; Viridiplantae; Streptophyta; Magnoliopsida; Poales; Poaceae.